Molecule: long non-coding RNA, 3821 nt
Organism: Amphiprion ocellaris (clown anemonefish)
Lineage: Eukaryota; Metazoa; Chordata; Actinopteri; Pomacentridae
Source: Ensembl
CCUGUCAUCUCUAAGCUCCUCACACAUCUUUACCUGCACAUGAGGAAAAUCACUCCUGUAGAAUGCAGAUGUUCAGAGGGAGAUGAUGCCACAUCUGGUCCAGCCGAUGGAAGGUGUUGAAGUUCUCUGACUGGCCUCGACUGAAGAUGGUCCUCUCACUGGAUUUAAGGUUCAGAUGCUCAGUAACAAACUCCACCAAUGAGCCAACAGGGAAGCUUUAGGUUUAUUAAAUGUUGCUAUGAAGGUUUCGUUGUUUUUCUUUGUGAAUGCAAUGUGCUCCAACUGAAACUUGAAUUAGAACUAAGUAAGUAAAUCCUUCCAUCUGAAAGGAUUUAGUUGCAUUAAUAACCUCAUAACAUUCUAAUUUUUAUUUCAGUCUUGGUUGGAAAUAGAAUCUCUGUAUUGAUUCAGGUAAAAACUGAACUUCACAGCAUGUUGGAGCAAAACAACCAGAUGAAAACUGUGAUGGUGUUGGAUUGUCAGACCGUAAUGUUGCAGCUCAAAGCAGCUUUUCUAGCUCAGUUCAUUCUGACAUUCAGCUAUGAAUCAACACAGCAGAUGGUGAUCCAUGCUGUGGAAGUCUCACAUCUCCUGAUUUAAUGGAGAUGCUUUGCACUUUUUACACUGUUUAUUCACCAACACUUUAUUUAAUAAAAGUCCCAUCUAGUUUUUAUGAGGAAUGUGAUGUUUUAAUUUCUCUGUGAAUAACUGCAGUCUAAUGCAACAGCUGGAAUUGUAACAUCUGUCCUCAUAUUGAUCUUGAAGUAUUGAUCAGAAUACUUAUGGUCAGCAGUCAUCCCUGAAGUUUUACAUUAAAAUCUUUACUUGUGUUGUGAACUUUGGUAAGAAGCAGAAACGUUAGCGUUGCCAUGGAUACAUGAGUGUUAAAUUCUGUCCAUGUUUCCAUUUUGGGAAAGUCAGUCCAACAGAUGAGUUUGUUUUUACUGCCAGCUACCAUUCAGUCUGAGAUAUUAAGAAUAAAUAAAUGUGCAUAAUGUGGAAAUGAACAGAUUCUAUUUUUAUUUAUUGCUACAGCUGCUGCAGGUAAAGUUAUAGGAUGUGGAGGAAGUUAGUCUCACAAUCACAGACAGUAAAUAUUAUCUGAAAGUCGGGUUAUUGUUGUUUAUCAGCACAAUACAAAAAGAUUAACGUUAGAAAUAUUCCAGUUAAUACUCUAGAAUAUCAGGAUUUAUGUAAAUUUACCUCAAUAAUAUGAAUGUUCAGGUUAAGAUUGUGCAGUGAUAUUUAUUAUGUAAGUUUAGCUGAUUAAAGUUUAUGACUCUGCACUACAAUAUUAUUUAUUAUUUAAAUUUACAUUAUUAUAAUAUUUAGGGUCAGACCCUACAGUAUUGCGAUUAAGAAAUCAAAUAUUGUAUAAAAUAUAAAUGCACUGAACUCACUUGGAUAUAUUUAAGUGAGACUCUACAAUAUUAUUUGACACAAAUCUAUCUAAAUCAAAAUUUUAAUAAUUUUCACGCCAAACAUUUACUGGACUGAUUUAAAUAUUAAAAUCACUCCUUUCUAAUCCUCUGCUGUACGUUCAAACCUGAAGCCUUAAAUAGAAACACACAAGUAUCUGAUUGAAAGAACUUCUGCAGAGUCCUGGUUCCAGAAUAUGAUGAUAGAAUUAUAGACAAACUUUAACAAAAGCUGCCUGAGAGUUUACAGGUUUUUAUGUUAGAUUUCUUCAGUAAUUUAAUGAGUUAUCAGCAAUAAUCAAGUGUUCAUUUGAUGAACUUCAUUUCCUAAAACAUCCAGAAUUGGAGCUCAUAUCUUUGGCAGCUGUAAAGUUUCUGCUCCUUCAAAGUUCACAACACAAUGAAUGAAUUCCUAAAACACUCUCAAUGCUGGAGAGCGUUUGAUGCUGAAGCAGUGAUCAGUUUUUCUGUUUCUUCUCUGGAGAUGCACAAUGAGGGACGUCUGCAGCGACUGAGAAAGAGUCUCACCACAUCCUGACAUGAGGAAAAAGACUUUAUUGAAGACUGCAAUGAGAAAAACUAUCAGACAGCAGACGGCAUGCAUUCAAGUCUGUAGCUGCUGAAUUCAUGGAUGAAUCAUCUGGCACUAGAGAGGAAGACCAUCAAACAUCCACGUCAGCUGAUGGAGGUCCAAGAGUCUCACCAAACAACCAACCUACAGAGUGAAGACCUCGAAUCUGAUUGGACGGCCUCCUAUUCAGCCACAUUUUAGGCUGUUAGAUUGUUCCAGAUAAGACAAGUACAAGAUUCUUCAGAGCCGUUCUACCACGAGCCUGACAGGAAGAACUCCAACAGCUACUGAAUGUUCCUGUGGUUCCCUCAAGGCUACAGGAGGAGUCCUACGAGGACGAGCCGGUCCACCUGAUGGAGGCCAGUCGCUGCGGUUCAAAGCCAACACCGACUACGUGGACUUCUACUGGACCACAGGGAGGCCUUCAAACCGGACCAACAAGUUCAGCGACUCCCCGACUCGUGGGUCUGAGGACGCCGCCGAGCCUCGGUCCAGCCGGCCUCCUGUCUGUGGGUGUUUGAGUGCUGAGAGGUUUGUGGAUGCAUGUGAACGUUCUGUGUUGAAACUGCAGCUUUUGACUCACUAACGCCGGGAAAAACCAAGAGCUCCUUUAUUUGUGACUUCCACUAAAAAAAACUGAUGAAAAUAAGUUUGCCAGGGUUCUGACUGAUAACAGAUUAUUAAAUAAUGAAAAUAACAGUUUAAGUGUUCCUUUAAACAAUCCUUUUAGGUCUACAUUUCCUUUACACUGACUUCUUGGUAUAUGUACAAGUAUUUUGGGUUGAAUAUACCAUUAAGCCCAAUGUUCUGGGGUUCUUCUGGGAAUAUACCAUUAAACCAAAUUUUUAGGUAAAUGUUCCAGGAUGUUGGGUAGAAUAUACCAUCAGAUCAACCUUUCAGGUCUACAUUGGAAGAUUUUAGAGUAGAAUAAUAAUCCAAACCAUCCUUUAGGUCUACAGUUAAGGUGGAAUACUCCUUUACACCAAGAUUUUUUGGUCUACAUUGAAGGGUUUUAGGUGGAAUAUUCCUUUGAACGAACUUUUUAAAUUUAUGUUCAAGGAUGUUGGGUGGAAUAUACCAUCAGACCAACCUCCAAGGUCUACAGUAGUGGAUUUUAGGUGGAAUAUACCAUUAAACUCACCUUUUAGGUCUACAUUGGAGGGUUUUAGAUGGAAUUUUCUUCCAAACCGUCUUUUAGUCUACAUUUAAGGAUGUUUAGGAUGGUAGAUUCUUCCAAACCAACUUCUCAGGUCUACAUUUCAGGUGGAAUAUUCCUCCAUACUAACUUUUUUGGUCUACAUUGAAGGAUUUUUUCUAAACCACCCUUUCAGGUCUAUAUUUGAGGUUUUAGGUGGAAUAUUCCUUUUAACCAGCACCUCAGGUCUGUUUGAGGAUUUUGGAUGGACUCCACGGUUAAACCAACAUUUUAGGUGCAUGUCCAAGGAUUUUUGGUGGAAUGGUCCUUUAAGGUGGAUGUUUGAGGGCCUUGUAGGUGGAAUACUUCCUGAAACCAACCUUUUAGGUCAACAUUCAAAGAUUUAAGGUGGAAUGUUCCUUUAAAUCAAGCUAAAUUUCAUGUUUUGAUCAUUAUCAAGUGAGAAACCUCAAUCCAGACUCCUCAUAAUGACAUUUGAGAUUCAUGCUGCUAUUUGUUUAGUCCAGACUAAAUGACAGAAAUCCACAACUGUAAUUUUAUUUCAUGACUCGGUUAUUAAAUGUCAAAACAAUCCAUGUGACUAUAAAACUCAACAGCUUUACAAACUCUAAGAUUAAACUCCCCACAAGGAUCCAAAAUAAGUUGGACUUCUACAUGAGAGCUUUAAUUAUUCUUC